GUAUAACUCAGAGGUAGAGUACUUGCUUAGCAUGCGUGAGACCCUGGGUUUGAUUCCCAAUAC
Molecule: transfer RNA, 63 nt
Filed under: Ictidomys tridecemlineatus (thirteen-lined ground squirrel)
Lineage: Eukaryota; Metazoa; Chordata; Mammalia; Rodentia; Sciuridae
Description: Spermophilus tridecemlineatus (thirteen-lined ground squirrel) tRNA
Rfam family: tRNA
About the family: Transfer RNA (tRNA) molecules are approximately 80 nucleotides in length. Their secondary structure includes four short double-helical elements and three loops (D, anti-codon, and T loops).
Source: Rfam by way of RNAcentral